GACGAACGCUGGCGGCGUGCUUAACACAUGCAAGUCGAACGGAAAGGCCCUGCUUUUGUGGGGUGCUCGAGUGGCGAACGGGUGAGUAACACGUGAGUAACCUGCCCUUGACUUUGGGAUAACUUCAGGAAACUGGGGCUAAUACCGGAUAGGAGCUCCUGCUGCAUGGGGGGGGUUGGAAAGUUUCGGCGGUUGGGGAUGGACUCGCGGCUUAUCAGCUUGUUGGUGGGGUAGUGGCUUACCAAGGCUUUGACGGGUAGCCGGCCUGAGAGGGUGACCGGCCACAUUGGGACUGCGAGACGCACCAGACUCCUACCGGAGGCAGCAGUGGGGAAUAUUGCACAAUGGGCGGAAGCCUGAUGCAGCAACGCCGCGUGCGGGAUGACGGCCUUCGGGUUGUAAACCGCUGUCGCCUGUGACGAAGCGUGAGUGACGGUAAUGGGUAAAGAAGCACCGGCUAACUACGUG
This 468-nucleotide ribosomal RNA is filed under the name uncultured bacterium. Its description in RNAcentral is "partial 16S ribosomal RNA". It matches the Rfam family "Bacterial small subunit ribosomal RNA", at positions 28 to 507 of the family's 1533-position model. The record is from RNAcentral.